AAGGAGUUAGUUAAAAUAUAACAUUAGAGUGUCAAUCUAAAAUAACUAUAAAUUAGUACACCUUG
Molecule: transfer RNA, 65 nt
Filed under: Dociostaurus tartarus
Lineage: Eukaryota; Metazoa; Arthropoda; Insecta; Orthoptera; Acrididae
Also listed under: 1 other name
Description: tRNA-Asp
Source: RNAcentral